RNAcentral lists this ribosomal RNA (449 nucleotides) under uncultured bacterium. Its description in RNAcentral is "partial 16S ribosomal RNA". It matches the Rfam family "Bacterial small subunit ribosomal RNA", at positions 29 to 523 of the family's 1533-position model. The record is from RNAcentral.
AAUGAACGCUGGCGGCAGGCCUAACACAUGCAAGUCGAACGGAUCCUUCGGGAUUAGUGGCGGACGGGUGAGUAACGCGUGGGAACAUACCCAAAGGUACGGAAUAGCCUCGGGAAACUGGGAGUAAUACCGUAUGUGCUCGAAAGAGGAAAGGUUUAUCGCCUUUGGAUUGGCCCGCGUUGGACUAGGUAGUUGGUGGGGUAAUGGCCUACCAAGCCGACGAUCCAUAGCUGGUUUGAGAGGAUGAUCAGCCACACUGGGACUGAGACACGGCCCAGACUCCUACGGGAGGCAGCAGUGGGGAAUCUAAGACAAUGGGGGAAACCCUGAUCUAGCCAUGCCGCGUGAUCGAUGAAGGCCUUAGGGUUGUAAAGAUCUUUCAGGUGGGAAGAUAAUGACUGUACCACCAGAAGAAGCCCCGGCUAACUCCGUGCCAGCCGCCGCCGUAA